GCGCCCGUAGCUCAGCUGGAUAGAGCGGCGGCCUUCGAAGCCGUAGGUCGCAGGUUCGACUCCUGCCGGGCGCGCCA
RNAcentral lists this transfer RNA (77 nucleotides) under Nitrospiraceae bacterium. RNAcentral describes it as "tRNA-Arg". It matches the Rfam family "tRNA". From Rfam's summary of the family: Transfer RNA (tRNA) molecules are approximately 80 nucleotides in length. Their secondary structure includes four short double-helical elements and three loops (D, anti-codon, and T loops). Lineage: Bacteria; Pseudomonadati; Nitrospirota; Nitrospiria; Nitrospirales; Nitrospiraceae. The record is from RNAcentral.